GACGAGCCACACGAACGUUAUUCGGAAUUACUGGGCUUAAAGGGUGCGUAGGCUGCGCGGCAAGUUGGGUGUGAAAUCCCUCGGCUCAACCGAGGAUCUGCGCCCAAAACUGCCGUGCUCGAGGAAGAUAGAGGUAAGCGGAACUUACGGUGGAGCGGUGAAAUGCGUUGAUAUCGUAAGGAACACCUGUGGCGAAAGCGGCUUACUGGGUCUUUUCUGACGCUGAUGCACGAAAGCUAGGGGAGCAAACGGG
This 253-nucleotide ribosomal RNA is filed under the name uncultured bacterium. RNAcentral describes it as "partial 16S ribosomal RNA". It matches the Rfam family "Bacterial small subunit ribosomal RNA", at positions 524 to 776 of the family's 1533-position model. The record is from RNAcentral.